Molecule: long non-coding RNA, 1154 nt
Filed under: Phoenix dactylifera (date palm)
Lineage: Eukaryota; Viridiplantae; Streptophyta; Magnoliopsida; Arecales; Arecaceae
Description: long non-coding RNA (PDAC_LNC011372)
Source: RNAcentral
UCGAACGGAAACCCUAGGGUUUCCGCCGCCGACGCCAUUGCCGCCGUCCCUGCCGUGCCAUCUCUGCCGCCGACGCCUUCUCCUCCGUCCACCGAGCCGCGCCACCUCGCCGUCACCGACCCCGCCGCUCCCGCGACCGCCCGAUUGCCAUCACCCAUCCUCGGCCGCCUCCUUCUCGCGGUCGACCACAGCGCCAUCGCCCGAGACCUCCGCCGCCUCCUUCUCCUUCGUCAACCGAGCCGCACCGCUUCGCCGUCGCCGUCCCCGCCGCUCCCGCAACCGGCCGAUUGCCACCACCCAUCCUCGGCCGCCUCCUUCUCGCGGUCGACCACAGCGCUAUCGCCCGAGACCUCUGCCGCCUCCUUCUCCUCCGUCAACCGAGCCGCGCCGCUUCGCCGUCGCCGUCCCCGUCUCCGCCGUCGCCACCAGAGCUCCACCGUCCGCGCCUCUCCAUCAUUCACCAUCGACUCAUCUCACGAGUUCACAUCAGCCAUCCGACCGCCCUGCAAAGCCCCCUUUCAACGGGCCUAUUCUUUCCCAAGAAGCCACAGCAUCCCUCCCCAGUCCAACAGAGUUCACCCGAGCUCAACUGGCCCGAUCACACUCCACAGUCUGCAACCGUUUCUCUCCACAGCAGGCCAAAACCCAUUUUAGUCCAAGCCCGUGCGUGUCUCCUUGAGCGCGGCCCAAGGCCUUUGGCUGCAGGUCCGAUCUCAGGCCCAAACCAGAUUAUUCUUCAGCCCAAUUCAACAGCCCAGGAAGCCUUGGGUUCAAUUCCAUAACUCCAGCUAGUUCUGCCCGGCGCCAACUUCGUGUUCGAGACUCCACGAGCAGACGAUUCUGGUCAACUGUAUUCACCACAGGUAAUAGGUUCUUCCUCCUUUGGGCUUGCUUAUCUAAAUAUGUUCUAGUUCUCUUGCAUGACAGCCCUAUUUUGAAACUUAUUUUCUUGUCAAACUGCAAAAACCUAGAACAUUUUCCACCACACCCGUCCUACCUCCCAAUUAAAUCUAAAUAUUAAAUUAGCACACCUUAGUGUCAGGACAUCAUCAACAUCCAUAGAUCAGAUUACUUUUAGACUUUGAAUGACUGUAAAACGUGUUUGCAACCUAACUUCUUAUAGUGACUAAUUUUCUACUUUAAUUCUGAAAUAA